This 261-nucleotide signal recognition particle RNA is filed under the name bovine gut metagenome. RNAcentral's name for it is "Bacterial large signal recognition particle RNA". It matches the Rfam family "Bacterial large signal recognition particle RNA". Rfam says of the family: The signal recognition particle (SRP) is a universally conserved ribonucleoprotein involved in the co-translational targeting of proteins to membranes. The record is from RNAcentral.
UGCAGCCGGGGCAUUAGCGGGGCCCUGUAACCUGCAAUCCGCUACAGCAGGGGUGAUGCCGAUCCGAGGACUCAUACUGGUGGAGCUGCCUUUGUUAAGCGGCGCUGACGUCUGGGUCCUGCGCAACGGAAACCUGUGAACCGUGUCAGGACGGGAACGUAGCAGCACUAAGCAGGACCUUUCGUGUGUCGCAGGGGUGCCUGGGCCGAGCUGGCUGGCGAAGUAACGUCUGUUGGCCUGCGUUCGGAGUGAGGCGCACGG